Molecule: long non-coding RNA, 842 nt
Organism: Pipra filicauda (Wire-tailed manakin)
Lineage: Eukaryota; Metazoa; Chordata; Aves; Passeriformes; Pipridae
Exons: 3
Source: RefSeq, a predicted model, not a curated record
AAGCCCCUAUGGGGAUGCCUUCACAUCUUGCCUUUUUGAGCUCCAUCUCCCUCUUUCCAUUCCUUUUCUAGGUGAGAGGAAGCCAAGAAUUCCCAAGUUGUCUGUGACAUACUGCCUUCGUCACUGGACACCCUGCCACUGAUGGGGACCAGCUCCUGCCUUUUGCUCACCACUACAAAUGCCAUUGCCCUGAGAAUUACUGACAUUGUCACUGAGGGGGCUAUAGUUGUGUGAGUAUAAAUAAACACAGUGCUAGAAAAGACACUCAGGGAUAAAUAGCAAAGGUAAUGCAUAGUGUGAGACCAAAAUAACUUCAUACUGUUCACUGAAAGUACCUUCCACUGGCUGUCUUGUGCUGGCUGUUUCCAGCCAAGGUCCUUGCCUUUCCCCAAAAGGCAAAAAGCACUGUGACUUCAGAAGCCAUGGGGCUCCUCUCUGUCCCUCCAAGAUGGUGACACUGAGGAGCUGGGACGCACUUGCAAGUACACUAGUCAUACAACUUCUGAAAGGUUACACAUGGGACUCAUAUUUGGACCAUCAUCAGACAAUAGUUCAGACUCAACAUCAAGCAGAAGGGCUACUGUUUAAAGAGAUGAUCUAAAUUGUCUCUUUCAUUGCUAAUAGGACAUUCGUGGCUCCAUGUACUCAGUCAGCAGGGGAUGGAGUGUCUUGCUUGUCCAGAUACACGGUCUGCUGCUACAGGCCUGGAAAAAUCUGCUUGUGCUUCCAACCAGAAGUCUCCAGAGGAUUCAGGAGCCUCCAACAAAACUUUUCUGAAACAGUGUUGAAAUAAAAAAUGUUCACAUGUCCAGAACACUGAUUAAACCUAAAUUAAACCUGAA